This 497-nucleotide ribosomal RNA is filed under the name uncultured bacterium. Its description in RNAcentral is "partial 16S ribosomal RNA". It matches the Rfam family "Bacterial small subunit ribosomal RNA", at positions 28 to 507 of the family's 1533-position model. The record is from RNAcentral.
GAUGAACGCUGGCGGCGUGCCUAAUACAUGCAAGUCGAGCGAACAGACGAGGAACUUGCUCCUCUGACGUUAGCGGCGGACGGGUGAGUAACACGUGGAUAACCGACCUAUAAGACUGGGAUAACUUCGGGAAACCGGAGCUAACACCGGAUAAUAUAUUGAACCGCAUGGUUCAAUAGUGAAAGACGGUUUUGCUGUCACUUAUAGAUGGAUCCGCGCCGCAUUAGCUAGUUGGUAAGGUAACGGCUUACCAAGGCAACGAUGCGUAGCCGACCUGAGAGGGUGAUCGGCCACACUGGAACUGAGACACGGUCCAGACUCCUACGGGAGGCAGCAGUAGGGAAUCUUCCGCAAUGGGCGAAAGCUUGACGGAGCAACGCCGCGUGAGUGAUGAAGGUCUUCGGAUCGUAAAACUCUGUUAUUAGGGAAGAACAAAUGUGUAAGUAACUAUGCACGUCUUGACGGUACCUAAUCAGAAAGCAACGGCUAACUACGUG